RNAcentral lists this ribosomal RNA (384 nucleotides) under Triticum aestivum (bread wheat). RNAcentral describes it as "partial small subunit ribosomal RNA". The record is from RNAcentral. Lineage: Eukaryota; Viridiplantae; Streptophyta; Magnoliopsida; Poales; Poaceae.
AUGCAUUUAUUCAACCUGAAUAUAUACACUGAUCAGAGAUGGCUCCUUUCGAAGUUUGUCGAGAGCUACUACAGAUGGGCGGUGCCUAUGGAUAGGCACGGCAUGGUGCCAGACCACAGUUUCCUCCAGGCCAUCAGCUCAUGCUUGGUUGCCAUAUUGCUAGACAAAUUCUAUGACAUGGUUGAUCAAGGAAGCAUUGUUCUCAAGAAAGCAAAGAGCUUCAGUUUCUGCAAACAAGGUGUGAUUGUCGAAGGAGAAUCCACGCCGAUAUAUAAAGAGCGAUGUGGUCAUAUUCGUCACCGGAUACAAAGCAGACCAAAAGCUCAAGGGGAUGUUCACAUCAUCCUUGCUCAGAGACACUGUGACUGGCCCGCCAUCCAGUAG